Molecule: ribosomal RNA, 327 nt
Filed under: uncultured eukaryote
Lineage: Eukaryota
Description: partial 18S ribosomal RNA
Rfam family: Eukaryotic small subunit ribosomal RNA
Source: RNAcentral
CCCUUAGAUGUUCUGGGCCGCACGCGCGCUACACUGACGAAUGCAACGAGCUUAUAACCUUGGCCGAAAGGUCUGGGUAAUCUCCAAAUUUCGUCGUGAUGGGGAUAGAUUAUUGCAAUUAUUAAUCUUCAACGAGGAAUGCCUAGUAAGCGCAAGUCAUCAGCUUGCGUUGAUUACGUCCCUGCCCUUUGUACACACCGCCCGUCGCUCCUACCGAUUGAACGGUCCGGUGAAGCGUUCGGACCGUGGCCUUUGGACGGUUCGCCGUCUGUUGGCUGCGGGAAGUUCGUUAAACCUUAUCAUUUAGAGGAAGGAGAANUCGUANCA